RNAcentral lists this ribosomal RNA (434 nucleotides) under uncultured bacterium. Its description in RNAcentral is "bacterial SSU rRNA". It matches the Rfam family "Bacterial small subunit ribosomal RNA", at positions 957 to 1391 of the family's 1533-position model. The record is from RNAcentral.
GAACGCGAAGAACCUUACCCGGGCUUGAACUGCCGGCGAACGAUACAGAGAUGUUGAGGCCCUUCGGGGCGCCGGUGGAGGUGCUGCAUGGUUGUCGUCAGCUCGUGCCGUGAGGUGUCGGCUUAAGUGCCAUAACGAGCGCAACCCCUCUCUUUAGUUGCCAUCAGGUUAAGCUGGGCACUCUGAAGACACUGCCACCGUAAGGUGUGAGGAAGGUGGGGAUGACGUCAAAUCAGCACGGCCCUUACGUCCGGGGCUACACACGUGUUACAAUGGGGGGUACAGAAAGUCGGUGUGAUGUAAAUCACAUCUAAUCCUUAAAGCCCUCCUCAGUUCGGACUGGGGUCUGCAACCCGACCCCACGAAGCUGGAUUCGCUAGUAAUCGCGCAUCAGCCAUGGCGCGGUGAAUACGUUCCCGGGUCUUGUACACACC